UUCAUGACUGGGGAGAAGUCGUAACAAGGUAACCGUAGGGGAACCUGCGGUUGGAUCACCUCCUUACCUAAAGA
Molecule: ribosomal RNA, 74 nt
Rfam family: Bacterial small subunit ribosomal RNA (bases 1-66)